RNAcentral lists this unclassified non-coding RNA (371 nucleotides) under sea anemone metagenome. RNAcentral's name for it is "partial contains small subunit ribosomal RNA and internal transcribed spacer 1". The stretch from base 1 to 154 matches the Rfam family "Eukaryotic small subunit ribosomal RNA", at positions 1678 to 1831 of the family's 1831-position model. The record is from RNAcentral.
GCACCUACCGAUUGAAUGGUUCGGUGAAAAUCUCGGACUGCGGCUUGGAUGCCUUCGGGCAACCAAGCUGUGGAAAGUUGUUUAAACCUCAUCAUUUAGAGGAAGGUGAAGUCGUAACAAGGUUUCCGUAGGUGAACCUGCAGAAGGAUCAAGUUUGAUCAACUUCCCAAGAAAUAUAUACUGUUGCCAAUAUUAAUACUUCUCAGUCCGAAAAUCUCACUAAACCAUUCAAUCGGUAGUAGCGAGAUGCUCGGAUCGGGCCCAGCUCGUGCGAAAGCAUGUGCCGGGACAGAGAAGAAGUUCAAGCUUGAUCAUUUAGAGGAAGUAAAAGUCGUAACAAGGUUUUCGUAGGUGAACCUGCAGAAGGAUCA